This 1243-nucleotide long non-coding RNA is filed under the name Homo sapiens (human). RNAcentral's name for it is "long intergenic non-protein coding RNA 320". The record is from RNAcentral. Lineage: Eukaryota; Metazoa; Chordata; Mammalia; Primates; Hominidae.
UCUUUAGUAGAAGGAUAACAUGACAUAGCAGGAAUAAUACUGCCUUUUCUUUCUGGCAUGGAUCAAGAGAAAAGAAAAUACAAGAAAACAGACAGAAGCAAGGCAAGGUACUUCUAUGGAAGGGUGAGCCCUCACAGAUGGAGCAAUGGGGCGCGCACACCUGAACAAGGGAGGGGAAGGAGUUCUUAUCCCUGAUGCAUGUGACCCCUGCUGCUGUGUCCUUCCCCUAUUGGCUAAGGUUAGACCACACAGCCUAAACUAAUUCCGAUUGGCUAAUUCAAAGAGAGCGACGGGGGCUUCUGACAGCUUUGGAGAUUGUGACAUUGGAAUAAAGGAAAAACGUACAGGACUCAUGAAGCGCUGAAAUGUUCACAAAUAUCAAGCAAAAGUCAAUGAAAUUUAUUUUGAGCUAUUUACAUCAUUUAAUAAUUGAGCAAGGUAUACUCCUAUGAACAAAAUUUGGAGCAUGUUUGUCUCUCUCUGCCUGGCGUCUUCAGAAUUUGGAAACUAGUUAGUCAUGGAAAUUUAUUUUGAGCUAUUUACAGCAUUUAAUAAUUGAGCAAGGUAUACUCCUAUGAACAAAAUUUGGAGCAUGUUUGUCUCUCUCUGUCUGCCUGGCAUCUACAGAAUUUGGAAACUAGUUGUAAGUAUUCCUAACUUAUGGCAGUAUAAUUGUUUGCAUCAGUACAAUAAGAAUCCACUUUCUUUUGCAACAGGAUGCAAUUGGAGAAACUGGUUGUUUUACCAAGGCUUUGACUGGAAGGAUAUGCUUCCCUUUAAGAAACCAAGCUCAACUUACAGAGCUGAUAAAACCCCUUUGGGAAAACUGGCCUCAUACCUUGUCUACACAGUCCCCAUGCAGGGUUCCUAACGUGUGGUGAGUAAAGCAUGUCACUUUCUAACAGGUCCAGGAACCCCAUGUUCUUGGGACCUCAAGAAGAGUGGAGUUUACCAAUUCACAGGUAUUCGAGGGUAAAAACCCAUGGGUGGUUUCAGCUUCAGGAAGUCCUAUCUGAGAUUCCUUGUGGAACAGCGUUCCAUCAAAGCCAAUUUAAAAAGCCUAUGUCAAAAUAAUUAUUCUUGCUACACUCUAUGCAAAUAAACAGGCCAAGUAUAGGACUAAAGUUUAUUUUGCAAACAGCUUAGUCCUAUCAUGAUUUGUUUUUAACAAAGAUGAAGACUGGAGAAAGAAAUUAUGUUUCAAAACUUAUUAUACAUUUGUCAUUAAAUUCUAGACUCAUUA